Molecule: ribosomal RNA, 293 nt
Filed under: uncultured bacterium
Lineage: Bacteria
Description: partial 16S ribosomal RNA
Rfam family: Bacterial small subunit ribosomal RNA
Source: RNAcentral
GGAUUAGAUACCCUGGUAGUCCACGCCGUAAACGAUGUCUACUAGCCGUUGGAGUCCUAGAGGCUUUAGUGGCGCAGCUAACGCACUAAGUAGACCGCCUGGGGAGUACGGUCGCAAGAUUAAAACUCAAAUGAAUUGACGGGGGCCCGCACAAGCGGUGGAGCAUGUGGUUUAAUUCGACGCAACGCGAAGAACCUUACCAGGUCUUGACAUCCAGAGGACUUUCCAGAGAUGGAUUGGUGCCUUCGGGAGCUCUGAGACAGGUGCUGCAUGGCUGUCGUCAGCUCGUGCCG